GAGAAAUGUGUAGGUGGAACAGUAUAAGACCUGGUGAUGUGUCUUGGAUAUAUCGAUGUAGUAGAUGCGUAUGCAUAGAUAGAAGACAACAGAGUCAUAAGGAUGUAACGCGACAUGGGUUUUGAGGCUGAUACGACAAACUCCCACUAA
Molecule: long non-coding RNA, 150 nt
Organism: Liolophura sinensis
Lineage: Eukaryota; Metazoa; Mollusca; Polyplacophora; Chitonida; Chitonidae
Exons: 3
Source: RefSeq, a predicted model, not a curated record